RNAcentral lists this ribosomal RNA (443 nucleotides) under uncultured bacterium. Its description in RNAcentral is "partial 16S ribosomal RNA". It matches the Rfam family "Bacterial small subunit ribosomal RNA", at positions 338 to 795 of the family's 1533-position model. The record is from RNAcentral.
CCUACGGGUGGCUGCAGUGGGGAAUAUUGCACAAUGGGCGAAAGCCUGAUGCAGCAACGCCGCGUGAAGGAAGACGGUUCUCGGAUUGGUAACUUCCAUCUAUAGGGGAGCAAGAACUGACGGUACCUAAAUAAGAAGCCCCGGCUAACUACGUGCCAGCAGCCGCGGCAAUACGAAGGGGGCAAGCGUUAUCCGGAAUUACUGGGUGUAAAGGGUGAGUAGGCGGCAAGGUAAGCGAUAUGUGAAAGCCUUAAGCUGAACUUAAGGAUUGCAUAACGAACUAUCUAGCUAGAGUACAGGAGAGGAAAGCGGAAUGCGUGGUGUAGCGGUGAAAUGCGUAGAGAUCAGGAAGAACACCGGUGGCGAAGGCAGCUUUCUGGACUGAAACUGACGCUGAGGCACGAAAGCGUGGGGAGCGAACAGGAUUAGAUACCCGGGUAGUC